RNAcentral lists this long non-coding RNA (817 nucleotides) under Danio rerio (zebrafish). RNAcentral describes it as "si:ch73-233c7.1 (ENSDARG00000097000.3)". The record is from RNAcentral. Lineage: Eukaryota; Metazoa; Chordata; Actinopteri; Cypriniformes; Danionidae.
CUGACGUCACUGGUGAAUACAGCGUGAGCGCGCAUUUUCUAAUGGCUGCUGAUCACUAUUGCAGAAAGAUCAAAGCAAGGCCAACCAGGAUGAGAUGAAAAUGUGUAUCAAGAGUUCAACCAGAUAGUGUGGAAGAAUCUUAAGCAAGAAUUAUAUUGGUCUCUUGAUCAUCACUGCCCACAGCUGAUUCAGAUCUUCAGGUCAAAGAGAGGAUUCACUGGACAGAUUUUUAUCUUCUACAAAAUAUCAAGGCGUCUGACCUCACUGACAUGCCAUGUGUUGCCAUUUGAGUGCUUCCAGUAGUUGUUGGUGAUGACCCAACAGUUCUUCAAAGCAUGUUUUAUGAUGGAGACUCAAAUCAACAUGUGCCCGUUGGAAUUCUUAACCAAGAAAAUUAAGAUGUGGCUCUGCAACCCCUGUCCUUCCACCUCCACCCAUUCUCUGGGAAUCAUCUUGGAGGGAAAUGUUGUAAUGGACAAUAUAGACAAUAUACCCCAGGCCAAGUGUCUUUUUGGAUCAACCUAUGCACUGCACCUAGGCUACACAAAAUGCAUGGACAAUACCCUUCUUUUUAUUCAACAAGUUUGGGUAAGAAGAUGCUGAAGGGUAACAUUCUGGCUGUUAAAAAUCAACUUGUCAUGUAAACUGGUACAGAAAAGGCAUGUUCCUUCAGGCUUGCUGUCCUAACUGUGAGAUAAAAAAAAUUAAAACUAUGCUUUAGUGUUUGGCAAGUGUAAAUAUUCCAUAAUGUUAAAAUGUAAUAACAUCCUGUGGUUGUUUAUUUUUUAGAUAUGUUUGUAAAAAUGUAUUUAAAAAU